Molecule: long non-coding RNA, 2454 nt
Filed under: Pongo abelii (Sumatran orangutan)
Lineage: Eukaryota; Metazoa; Chordata; Mammalia; Primates; Hominidae
Description: lincRNA
Source: RNAcentral
GCACUGCACCGAGCUUGCACAGGGCGAGGCGGGGGCAGGACCUGGGACCCAGCCACCCCGGAGGAAACCGGAGAGGAAGCCAGCUUGGUCUUGCUCUCUGCCUCGUCCCAAUCCCCGGCUCUUACUAAAUGCAGAUCCCUUGGCUGAAUGCCUUUUAAUCUGCAUACAUGCAUCUCAUACCACACAGCCCAAAUUUCUACAACUUCGUCCAGGUGCAGUCUUCUCAGAACUACAAAGCAAGAAAAGAUCACCUUUGGGCUCAGGAACUCACAGUCGUUCUCCCUCUCCCGGAAGGCACAAUGACCAGGACAGUACCGAGCUUUGCAGCCAUAUUGAACUCACCUCCAACUCAGCACAUUCAACCCAAUCAGUCAAAAUCGUCUUUUCCUGCAGGUAAAUAAUGCUGAAACUGUGGGAAGAUGGGAUGGUAAGCACAAAGUCUGUUUCUGGAAGCACGGGCGCUGUCUCUGAAGACAAAUUGAUUGUAACAGAAGCAGACCCGGUGGAACGACCUCCAUGCUGAACCCUCAGCUCCCCCUGCAUUUGGACUGUGGCCUGAUGGAAGAUAAAGAGACUGAUCUCAGAGUGGCACAGAUCUACAACCACGUGAAGAAUUGGAUUUAUAUUCAUCUGACUCCAGAAAGUUCCUGAGAUUCCUCUGCUUCAUCAUCUUUCCCGUGCCCUUUAAGACACGUUAUCAAAUAGCAACAGGUGGUGCAAUCACUAGACAAAUUAUUCUCAGUCUUUUUCUUUGCCAUUAGCACACCCGGAAGGAGAUGUGUUGGACACGUUUUCCUAGUCACCACCCCAUGAAUCUUCCAUACCACAGGUAUACUGUGUAUUCGGCUAUGUAUCAUCUGUACACCUGUUUCUAAAACAUAGAAACAGUAAGAGCCCCCAAUCCAAGAAUCCAUUUUAGUCCUCUUGGGUGUGAUGUCACCCCCCAAAAAUGCAUAUGCUCUGGACUCAGUCACAAACACAUUACGAAUGCAUGAUCACUUAAGAACGUUACCAAAGUUUAUAAAUUUGAGAUGAUAAUUCUAUAUUAUUUAGUUCAUUUUAGAGAUAAGUAAGAACCAGAGAUUCCAGAGAGGUAGACCAAGCUGACAGAGCAAGGAAAGGCAGAGCCAGACAUGCAGCUGAAGCAUCUGGAUUCCCACUCUAGUGCUCCAGCUUAACCCAGAUGAUCAGUAAAUGAUUGCUUUUCAAUGUGCUCUCAACACUUCCCACAUUGCCUCCUUCAUUAAUAAAGGAACGAUAUUUUGGGAGAAACCAGAAUCUGCCCUGGGGCAAUAGAAAGGCAGCAAAGCAACCUGCAUUCAAGUCUUUGGGGGAUUUUUUGGAAAGCAGAAUGUAUUAGUCUGCUAUUGCUGCUGUAACAAAUUACCAUCAACUUAGUGGCUUAAAACAACACACAUUUGUUGUCUUAAAGUUCUGGAGGUCAGAGCCCAAAAUGGGUCUCAUGGAGCUAAAAUCAAGAUGUCAGAAGGGCUGUGUUCUUUUGAGAGGCCCUGGGGGGAGAAUCUGUUCCAUGCCUUCUCCAGCUCCUGGAAGUCACCUGCUUGCUUUGGCUGUGGGGCACUUCCAGCAACUGCAUCACUCUAACCUCUGCUACCAUAGCACAUCUCCUCUUCUGACUCUCACUCUCUUCUUUCUUUCCCUUAUAAGGACACUUGUAGUCCAGGAUAAUCUCCCCAUUUCAAAAUCCUUUACUUAAUCACAUCUGCAAAGUCCGUCUUGGCCUAUAAGGUGACAUACUUGCAGAUUCCAUAAAUUAGAAUUUGGACAUCUUUGGGUGGCUGUUAUUAUGCCUGCCACACAGACCAAUGCAUACACAACGUGACCAAUCCAUCUUGGUUUGUCUGAGACUAUAUUGGCUUUAAAGCUGAAAGUUCGGCAUCCCAGGAAUCCCCUCAGUCCCAGGCAAUUCAGGACAAUUCGUCGUCACCCUGUGUGCACCUCCUAUGUGCUCCUUCAACUUAGAGAGUUGGUGUUUUCUCUCCUCUUCAGAGGACUAACUCCUCUUCACCUAAAGAGUACACAGAGGAUGGGUGUAGUGGCUUAGGCCUGUAAUCUUAGUGCAUUUGGGACACUGAGGCAGGAGGUUCACUUGAGCCCAGGAGUUUGAGACCAUUCAGGGCAACAUAGUGAGACCCUUUCUCUACAAAAGUUUUUUAAAGAUUAGUUGGGCAUGGUGGCACAUGCCUGUAGUCCCAGCUACUUGGGAGGGAGGCUAAGGCGGAAGGAUCCCCUGAGCCCGGGAUUCAAGGCUGCAGUGAGCUAUGAUAGUGCCACUGUACUGUGGCUGAGGCAACAAAACGAGGCCCUGUCUCUAAAAAUAAAAAAUAAAAAAAAAGACUGCACAGAAUAGACUGAUGGACUGAAGGCUCUGCCCUUAUCAAACAUUUGCCAAGUAAUAAUUACAAGUUUGCCUCCUAGACUGGGUGGCUUCUC